Molecule: long non-coding RNA, 264 nt
Filed under: Elaeis guineensis (African oil palm)
Lineage: Eukaryota; Viridiplantae; Streptophyta; Magnoliopsida; Arecales; Arecaceae
Description: long non-coding RNA (EGUI_LNC049401)
Source: RNAcentral
UUGUAUCUACUUGUGACAUUCACAGUAAUAACUAUAUCAAUUCAAGUACUUUAUGGCAUACGACUAUGCCCAAGAGAGUAGCAGACCCCUCUCUGAGAUUUCUAUGCUGAACCCUUUCAGCAUCAACUCUCUGUACUUUAUCUAUGAAAACACAAGUAUCCAAUUGCAUCUAUCUCUAUAGAUCUUUAGGAUGCUCUCUUUAUAUCUUUUAUGAAGAAAUCUAUAUUUAAUCAUAUUUUAACCAACGUUAGUUGACACUCCCAC